URGCAKCWGGACACGCCGCGUGUGUGWGAAGGCUUUCGGGUCGUAAAGCACUGUUGUAUGGGAAGAYUGCUAAAAUAGGGAAUGAUUUUAGUUUGACGGUACCAUACCAGAAAGGGACGGCUAAAUACGUGCCAGCAGCCGCGGUAAUACGUAUGUCCCGAGCGUUAUCCGGAUUUAUUGGGCGUAAAGCGAGCGCAGACGGUUGAUUAAGUCUGAUGUGAAAGCCCGGAGCUCAACUCCGGAAUGGCAUKGGAAACUGGUUAACUUGAGUGUUGUAGAGGUAAGUGGAACUCCAUGUGUAGCGGUGAAAUCCCCCGGU
RNAcentral lists this ribosomal RNA (319 nucleotides) under uncultured Lactobacillus sp. Its description in RNAcentral is "bacterial SSU rRNA". It matches the Rfam family "Bacterial small subunit ribosomal RNA", at positions 382 to 695 of the family's 1533-position model. Lineage: Bacteria; Bacillati; Bacillota; Bacilli; Lactobacillales; Lactobacillaceae. The record is from RNAcentral.